GACGAACGCUGGCGGCAGGCUUAACACAUGCAAGUCGAACGCACAGCCAGGGGAGUGGCAGACGGGUGGGUAACGCGUGGGGAGAGACCCACUUGUGCGGAAUAGCCCUGGGAAACUGGAAUUAAUACGGUAUACGGCCUACGGGGGAAAGAGAUAUCGGGGUAGGAUUGGCGCGCGUUGGAUUAGCUGGUUGGUAGGGUAAAGGCCUAGCAAGGCGACGAUCCAUAGCUGGUCUGAGAGGAUGAUCAGCCACAUCGGGACUGAGACACGGCCCAAACUCCUACGCAACGCAGGAGAGGGUGAUAGUGGACGACGGGGUCAGUCCUGACCCUGCCAUGCCGGGGAAGUUAUGAAGGCCUUAGGGUUGUAAUGUUCUUUCACCGAUGAAGAUAAUGACGGUAGUCGGUGAAGAAGCCCCGGCUAACUACGUG
Molecule: ribosomal RNA, 431 nt
Filed under: uncultured bacterium
Lineage: Bacteria
Description: partial 16S ribosomal RNA
Rfam family: Bacterial small subunit ribosomal RNA
Source: RNAcentral